Molecule: long non-coding RNA, 1657 nt
Organism: Pecten maximus
Lineage: Eukaryota; Metazoa; Mollusca; Bivalvia; Pectinida; Pectinidae
Exons: 4
Source: RefSeq, a predicted model, not a curated record
GGAAGAAAUAGGUCAAAGUUGAAAAAACGGCAAAUCCAUAAAGAAAAUACUCUCUUAUGAAAAAUUCUUAUUGAAGUUUUGGCGAUAUAUAACCCCUAGAAUUAAAAAAUAAUAAUUUUCUGGGGAAUCCUCUCACUGUCGAAUGACGAGAUAAAAUGCAAAUUUCCCGCUUUGGGCGCAUGCGCAAGAAUCUAGGUUAGUAGAACGUAAACAUAUAUCGGCAGAAACAUGGCUUCCGAAGCCAAGAGAUGUCGGCCUAGAAUUGAAACGAGUUCGGCAACAAAGCGACGUAAACAGAAAUGGUCACAGGACAACCCGGUUAUAUGACUGGGGAAACAACACACUAGUUGGAAGACAUUCAAUGAAGAAAAUAGUUUCUCUACAAACGAGCAUGCAGCACGGAUUCUUCUGGAUAAGUGUGCACUUCAGUGACACAAAAAGUUCAUGCAGGUGAAGACAUCCCCACACCAGCUGGAACUUCUAUGCCCGCCGCCCGGACCGCCAUCACAUGUGUGCACCCCUACACCAGUAACAUCUACGCCUACACAUGCCCAUAAAGAACCUAUAGCUAUAGAUAGACCUCCGAUGUCUCAGAUAUAGAAGCUCAGUCAUCACACUCGUCUGAUUUAUCUUGUGUGGAAGCAUUACAAUCAGACUCCGAGAGUAACAUUAAUGUCAGCUUGCUUUCCCAUUACCAACAGAAGGCUAAAGAGGAUGACACCUCAUUUAUUGAUAUACCUCAGACACAUCAACCUGAACACUUGCCAAUGGCUGAAGAUCCCAUAGAAAUGGAAGAGGUUGAUGUUGAUGAUGAGCUUACAGAGGAUGAAGGAGACAUUGUGGAAACAGACACUCAAAAGGAUAGUGUUGAAGAAAGGAAAUCAAUAUGCUUCCAAAGUGCCUUGUUGUAACUCACGUCAGUUCAAAUACCCACAACUUGUCAAAGAAAAGCAUGUGGUGCAAAUAUCAUUGUCCAGUGCAGAUAUGUUGGAUGUGCAGUACAGUUGAAAUGAAUUGGAGGAGCAGCAUUUGGUACUAGUCCUGGAUCCUCUGGAUCUUGUGGAUCCUCUGGUUCACCUGCAUUUUCGCAAAGGUCAAAAACUAGGCCUGGCUGACGAUACACUAGCUGAAGAACUAAAUUUAUCAGUGGCUUUAGGUCCAUCCUUCUGAUUAUAUCCUAACACAUAAAACAAUUAUUAUAGAACAAAUCCAUGUGGGUGGGUGUACUGUAGUAUUCUAAUGUAUAACAAUAACUGUUUUUCCUUAUUUUUGGUUUUGGAGUUGAUAAAUUAUAAUGCACUUAUAUAACUUUUUCCCUCAAAUUUCAUCCCAAAUUUUUCUACUAAGGUUUUAUUUAAGGUAUGUAUGCGUUUUGUGAUAAUUGUUUGUGGAAGUAAGUAUGGUGUAAAUGUGGUGUUCAAUUUCAGAGCAUGUAGGAGGUAGGUGUUCACUUAAUGGUGUAUUGCAGGUGUUUACAUUUCAGUACUAGUGUGUGUUUGAGAGUGUUCACUUGACAGUAUGUGCAGGUGUUCUUUCAACAUUGUGUAUAGGAAGUGUUCAAUUAUCAGUUUGCAGGAAGUGUUCACUAAUCAGUGUGUAUAGGAAGUGUUCACUAUCAGUGUGUGUAGGAAGUGUUCACUUAUCAGUGUGUGUAGGA